GACGGAGGAUGCAAGUGUUAUCCGGAAUCACUGGGCGUAAAGCGUCUGUAGGUGGUUUAGCAAGUCCACUGUUAAAAAUUGAAGCUUAACUUCAAAGAUGCCGUGGAAACUUUUAAACUUGAGGAUGAUAGGGGUAGAGGGAAUUUCCAGUGGAGCGGUGAAAUGCGUAGAUAUUGGAAAGACCACCAAUGGCGAAGGCACUCUACUGGGCCAUUACUGACACUGAGAGACGAAAGCUAGGGGAGCGAAUGGG
This 253-nucleotide ribosomal RNA is filed under the name uncultured bacterium. RNAcentral describes it as "partial 16S ribosomal RNA". It matches the Rfam family "Bacterial small subunit ribosomal RNA", at positions 524 to 776 of the family's 1533-position model. The record is from RNAcentral.